This 253-nucleotide ribosomal RNA is filed under the name uncultured bacterium. RNAcentral describes it as "partial 16S ribosomal RNA". It matches the Rfam family "Bacterial small subunit ribosomal RNA", at positions 524 to 776 of the family's 1533-position model. The record is from RNAcentral.
GACAGAGGCCACAAGCGUUAGGCGGAAUCACUGGGCUUAAAGCGUGUGUAGGCGGAUCGUUAAGUGCCUUGUGAAAUCCCACAGCUUAACUGUGGAACUGCUUGGCAUACUGGCGGUCUUGAGCCAUCUAGGGGUUGCUGGAACAAACGGUGGAGCGGUGAAAUGCGUAGAUAUCGUUUGGAACGCCAGUGGUGAAAACAGGCAACUGGGGAUGUGCUGACGCUGAGACACGAAAGCCAGGGGAGCAAACGGG